UAGGGAAUAUAACAUCACCUAAUUUCAACCAAAUUAAUAUCUUUUGAUUUUGAUGAAGUUUAAAAUCUGGAUACUAUAUUCAUUGAAUCGAACAUGCGAUUGGAUGUAACCAUUGGAUAUUCUAACCUUACUAACCAAUGGUAAUUACUCCUACUAUAAGAACUGAUUGUAAACCCCUGAUGAAGUCCUAAUGGACGAAACGCGUUGGGUUUCGCAACAUCGGGUUAAUAAAGCCUUUAUUACAAGCAUCUGGUUGGAGAUACAUCCAUUUCAAUUUCUGACUGUGAUCACCUGACUGUAAAAUCCUCACAUCAACUGGAAUUUUUUUAUGUAUAAGACUGUAACAUUGUUUUAUUGAAUUUUUACAAAGUUGUA
Molecule: long non-coding RNA, 375 nt
Organism: Pseudophryne corroboree (corroboree frog)
Lineage: Eukaryota; Metazoa; Chordata; Amphibia; Anura; Myobatrachidae
Exons: 3
Source: RefSeq, a predicted model, not a curated record